UUUUUUGCAGGUUUCAGAUUUCUCUUUCUUUUAUCACAGUGUCUUAAUAAAAAAAAAAAGAGAUAUUUUAGAAUAUCUCACAUGUUUAUAGUUUUAUCAACUUUGAUUCACUUAUCUCAAUCUCUCUCUUCUCUCUCUACCGUGCCAUGCUCAAGUAUCGAACCCAUCAAACGAUGCACAUAACUGUGACUUCGCCUGACCAGGAGAGCUAC
RNAcentral lists this long non-coding RNA (212 nucleotides) under Capsella rubella. RNAcentral's name for it is "long non-coding RNA (CRUB_LNC004872)". The record is from RNAcentral. Lineage: Eukaryota; Viridiplantae; Streptophyta; Magnoliopsida; Brassicales; Brassicaceae.